AAUGUGACUGGCAGAACGCGUGUUGCAUGUGGAGGAUAAAUGCUGCAGUAGAUAUCUCAGAUAGGGGGAUUGAGGUUGCAAUAUUGGGAUGCACAACUAUUUGUAAGUGGAUUUAGGCUAUAUUUAUAAACCAUGAACGUUAUCAAACUAUACUGUUCUUCAAUUUUGGGUAAAGACCACCACCUAGUGUAAUUUUGAUAAAACAGUUUAGGCUAUAGUAAUUAUCCGACAGUGACGGGUUUGGGGCGUUGCCUUUAUAUUACUGGGACCAAUCGGAGAUCUGGCAGAAACUUUGUAAACAAGUAUUGCACGUUGUGUGAAAAACAUUUUCUUUUAUCAUUACAAAGAGAUUUAUCGUUGGAAAAAACGCAGGACUUGAAGACUUCACUAAGGUAGAGAUACCUCGUGAAGAAACUGCUAUAUGAGCAUCUGAGCGUCUCAGGAAUGGUCUUGGCUGGGCAUGGCUCAUCUCAGGUAAGACUUUAGCUACCAUGGUUUACUUUGUACAUGUGAGCUGCUGUUUUCACAUGGGAAGGCUACUGAAUUCCCCUCUUUGUUUUCAAUGAAGAAAUUCUACCACAGCAAGAAUACUGUAGAUUUUGCAUGUGUUGUACUGUAAGGAAGGAAUAGAAGACAUUCCCUGUCCCUGCAGAUUCCCUCUGGUGAUUUGAUUAGCAUUUGAGAA
This 685-nucleotide long non-coding RNA is filed under the name Salmo trutta (river trout). RNAcentral describes it as "lncRNA (ENSSTUG00000001447.1)". Lineage: Eukaryota; Metazoa; Chordata; Actinopteri; Salmoniformes; Salmonidae. The record is from RNAcentral.